Molecule: long non-coding RNA, 214 nt
Organism: Mercenaria mercenaria
Lineage: Eukaryota; Metazoa; Mollusca; Bivalvia; Venerida; Veneridae
Exons: 3
Source: RefSeq, a predicted model, not a curated record
AUGCAGACUAAGCAGACUUAUCUGCAGUGACCAGACGUUUCGUUCCCGUUGUACAUAAGCUUCAGACAGCCUGACCUUGCAGCUCAUGAGAUUUUGAUGAGACAGAAAAUAUCUCUGCUUUGUCUAAUGGAGAUGACAUUUAAGAGACCAGCCACAAACCGACAGUUAACAUUUGCAGAAAUCGCCACAGAAACAGAUUACCAGAAGGGGAGGU